CCCUAUGGGGUGCAGCCGGCAGACGGCGCUAAAUGACAGACUGGUGAAUUUCAUUUCUUCUUUCCUGCCAUGUAUUUGUCAAGAUCAUCCUUUGAUUUCUGGGCGUUCAGAGCGUCCUUCACCUCUUCAUAGUUAUCGCGGUCGUAAGUAUGGUCAUAGGCGUACUUGGCGAAGCUCAGUCUUGACGUUUCCAUGUUGAAGAGGUUGAUAACCUCCUUCACCUGCCAAACCGUCAGGCAAUGGGUGUCGGCCAUCUUUUUGGCCGCAGUCAGCUGCGAUCCUUCAAAGGGAUGCGAAGAGAUGCCAGCCAGCGCAACGGCAAAUUCAGCCUCCUGCAUGGGGUUGUCGCAUCCGCCCGUCGCGGAGGACUUGCUGUUCCCGCUAUUGCCGGAUCCUUGCUCCUUUUGUUCCUGCCCGGCAGGUUCGGCCGGCGGCGGAACAGGCUUCGGCACAUCUUCAUCCAGCCAUUCGGAGC
RNAcentral lists this ribosomal RNA (475 nucleotides) under uncultured prokaryote. RNAcentral's name for it is "partial 16S ribosomal RNA". The record is from RNAcentral.